CAAAAUCUCCCGCCAUGAACUGAAUGAUUCGUAAUUCACACGGCUGCAUAUCUCAAAAUUCCUUAUUUUGAAUGAUUUGUAGUGAAUAUGAUGCAUCCCCUAUUUGUUGAACAGAAAUCAUCUGAUUCUGUGAUGGCAUUCAGCAUGAAUCCGUAUGAAAAUAAGUUGAUAUUUGAAUUAUGGCAACACGAAUGAAUAAUGUGCUUAUUAUAAAGGAUAAUUAUUUCCACCAUGUCCUGAAUCAAAAAUCAUUCAAUUAUCUUCUGAAUGUCAUAUUUAAGACUAAUGAUGCUAGACAUAAAAUCAUCCUUGUCAAUUGUAGUAAAAUAAUGCCGGUUGCAACAGUUCCCGCGUGCAGAGUUCGGAGUUUUUCGAGUUAAUUUAACAGGAGCACCAAACAUCAUUUGUAGCUGAAGAUGAAGGAUUGUUUGCAGGAUCAAGGACUCGUUAUUCAAAUGGGCACCUCACGCCAAGUCACGAUGGUCGUCGAUUUAAGAUUGAUAAUUAUUAUACUAUUAAUGCAGCUAAACAGUUCGUGGAAAUAAAUAUUUAUGUGCG
Molecule: long non-coding RNA, 558 nt
Filed under: Aedes aegypti (yellow fever mosquito)
Lineage: Eukaryota; Metazoa; Arthropoda; Insecta; Diptera; Culicidae
Description: lncRNA AAEL021908
Source: RNAcentral